RNAcentral lists this ribosomal RNA (359 nucleotides) under uncultured bacterium. RNAcentral describes it as "bacterial SSU rRNA". It matches the Rfam family "Bacterial small subunit ribosomal RNA", at positions 30 to 394 of the family's 1533-position model. The record is from RNAcentral.
AUUGAACGCUGGCGGCAUGCCUUACACAUGCAAGUCGAACGGUAACGGGCCUUCGGGUGCCGACGAGUGGCGAACGGGUGAGUAAUGCAUCGGAACGUACCUUUCAGUGGGGGAUAACGUAGCGAAAGUUACGCUAAUACCGCAUAUUCUGUGAGCAGGAAAGCAGGGGAUCGCAAGACCUUGCGCUGAUUGAGCGGCCGAUGUCAGAUUAGCUAGUUGGUGAGGUGAAGGCUCACCAAGGCGACGAUCUGUAGCGGGUCCGAGAGGAUGAUCCGCCACACUGGAACUGAGACACGGUCCAGACUCCUACGGAGGCAGCAGUGGGAAUUUGGACAAUGGGGGCAACCCUGAUCCAGCCA